CGUGUAGGCGGCUUCGUAUGUCUCUUGUGAAAUCCCUCGGCUCAACCGGGGAACUGCAAGAGAAACUGCGGAGCUCGAGUCCGGGAGAGGAAAGCGGAAUUCCCAGUGUAGCGGUGAAAUGCGUAGAUAUUGGGAGGAACACCAGUGGCGAAGGCGGCUUUCUGGACCGGUACUGACGCUGAGACGCGAAAGCUAGGGGAGCGAACA
This 207-nucleotide ribosomal RNA is filed under the name uncultured bacterium. RNAcentral describes it as "partial 16S ribosomal RNA". It matches the Rfam family "Bacterial small subunit ribosomal RNA", at positions 568 to 774 of the family's 1533-position model. The record is from RNAcentral.